UAGAAUGUAGCUAAAAAGAACAGCAUCUCCCUUACACCGAGAAGACACCCGUGCAAAUCGAGUCAUUCUAA
This 71-nucleotide transfer RNA is filed under the name Anguilla malgumora. RNAcentral describes it as "tRNA-Val". It matches the Rfam family "tRNA". From Rfam's summary of the family: Transfer RNA (tRNA) molecules are approximately 80 nucleotides in length. Their secondary structure includes four short double-helical elements and three loops (D, anti-codon, and T loops). Further hydrogen bonds mediate the characteristic L-shaped molecular structure. tRNAs have two regions of fundamental functional importance: the anti-codon, which is responsible for specific mRNA codon recognition, and the 3' end, to which the tRNAs corresponding amino acid is attached (by aminoacyl-tRNA synthetases). tRNAs cope with the degeneracy of the genetic code in two manners: having more than one tRNA (with a specific anti-codon) for a particular amino acid; and 'wobble' base-pairing, i.e. permitting non-standard base-pairing at the 3rd anti-codon position. Lineage: Eukaryota; Metazoa; Chordata; Actinopteri; Anguilliformes; Anguillidae. The record is from RNAcentral.